Otolemur garnettii (small-eared galago) is the source of this 99-nucleotide unclassified non-coding RNA. It matches the Rfam family "Y RNA". From Rfam's summary of the family: Y RNAs are components of the Ro ribonucleoprotein particle (Ro RNP), in association with Ro60 and La proteins. The Y RNAs and Ro60 and La proteins are well conserved, but the function of the Ro RNP is not known. Lineage: Eukaryota; Metazoa; Chordata; Mammalia; Primates; Galagidae. The record is from Ensembl.
GGCUGGUCUCAGUGCAGUGGUGUCUACAACUAAUUGAUCACAAGCUAUAGAUUCCUUUGUUCCUUCUCUACUCCUGCUGCUUCACUUGACUCGCCCUGA